AAAGUCGUAACAAGGUUUCCGUAGGUGAACCUGCGGAAGGAUCAUUAUUGAAUCCUUAGGAUGUUGCUGGCCUCUAGGGGCAUGUGCACUCCACCUUUUCAAUCCACCUGUGCACUUAUUGUAGUCCCGGAUGAUAAAAAGUCUGGUGUCUAUGUCUUUUAAUACACACUACAAAAAAGUUUAUAGAAUGUCUAUUGGAUAAGACCUUUGAUGGUCAAUAAUGUUAAUACAACUUUCAACAAUGGAUCUCUUGGUUCUC
RNAcentral lists this unclassified non-coding RNA (259 nucleotides) under Basidiomycota sp. RNAcentral's name for it is "partial contains small subunit ribosomal RNA, internal transcribed spacer 1, and 5.8S ribosomal RNA". The stretch from base 1 to 47 matches the Rfam family "Eukaryotic small subunit ribosomal RNA", at positions 1785 to 1831 of the family's 1831-position model. Lineage: Eukaryota; Fungi; Basidiomycota. The record is from RNAcentral.